AAGCAAUUACUGCAACUAAAGAAGAAUCAUGUCAAACUUGAUAUAAGUGAACAAUUACUCCAAAUCCAAACCUGGAUAAAGUAAAAUCAUCGUAAGUCAAAGUCAUGGUUAACUUGUCAUUUUUUAUUAAACAAUAUGCAAACAUUCUUCUAAAAAAAAGUAUUAUGACUACAAAAACUAACUAUAAACUUCACCCAAAGUCAAAGAGCACAUGGCAUUUUGUAGUGUAUUUAAUAUAUGUCCAAAGUCAAUUAGUUUCUUAAUGCACACUUAGCAUUGUAUCUUAUGAUAUCAAAGAUCAACUAACAAAAAAUGCGUCCGUGCAAUUCAAAAUUAAAAAGGAAAUUACCAAUCAAUCAACAAAUCAAACCAGAACUCACCUCACAAAAAAUGAACUGAAAACCCAAAGUAAGGGCAGAUUCAAAUAGAACCGACUUUGAUUUUGGAACUCUGUUUGUAUGUACUUUAUAUAGAUGAAUUUGAUCUAAAAUUACAUCAACUUGAAGAUUAUGGAACUUUCAACCAUAAAAUUUGCCCUUGACCACGGAGGGGACCUCGCCAGCAACCUCGAAACUCGGCUGACCUUGGGAUUUUUUUUUGCUAUUUGACAGCUGAUUUUUGCCGCUUUCUUGGCUUGUUUGCUGAUUUUCAGCUUUUCACGCUAGAAAAUAGGCUGGAACUAGGUGGCUUCUUCAGCUACAUUUAAGGCUAAGUUUUGGCGGUUUGUUUUGGAUGGUUUUUCUUUUUUAGCUAGGUUCGAGAGGUUGCUUUGGCAUCAUUUUUGAUUGGAAACGAGGCUAUUUUUUAUCGCAUUUUUUGGGGUGGAGAUGAAGGUCCUUGGGGGGGGGGGGCAGGUAUGGCUUGCAGAAUAGUUGUAUUAGGUGUUGGAGUUCAGGUGGUGUUUCAGUGGUUAGAUCCGGUGGAGAUAGGUGAUUUAAUUGGUAAUCAUGGAGAGAAAUUGAUCGCAUCAAAUCUGAUCUUCUCAAAAAGAAGGGGAAUUGCGGCACCUUUUCUUUUUGUUGAGC
This 1025-nucleotide long non-coding RNA is filed under the name Nicotiana tabacum (common tobacco). Its description in RNAcentral is "long non-coding RNA (NTAB_LNC002049)". Lineage: Eukaryota; Viridiplantae; Streptophyta; Magnoliopsida; Solanales; Solanaceae. The record is from RNAcentral.